GGGAAAUGCUUUGAAUCGACUCAGGGCACCGAAGCCGCCAUAACAGCACAAUGAAAGACACUCCAGAGCUACUGCAGAAAGAGAGGACAAGGGCAGAGGGAAUACUUUGAAACUCAUUCUGGGAGUUCAGGAUCACAUUAAUACCAAAACCAGAUGAAGAUAUUAUAAGAAAAGAAAACUUCAGAUCAAUAUCCCUCAUGAAUGCAGACACAGAAAUCCUCAACAUGUUUACGAAUUGAGUCUAACAAAGUACCGAAAUAUGCAGCACCAUCAAGUGGGAUUUAUUCCAGAUAGGUUCUCACCACCUCUCCCAGGCUGACCU
Long non-coding RNA from Fukomys damarensis (Damara mole-rat), 322 nucleotides. RefSeq lists it as uncharacterized. The record is from RefSeq and is a predicted model, not a curated record. NCBI's taxonomy places the organism in Eukaryota, Metazoa, Chordata, Mammalia, Rodentia, Bathyergidae. The transcript is spliced from 3 exons.